GCUUAGCCGUAAAAUUUGAUAGUAAUAUACAACUACUGUCCGCCAGGGGACUACAAGCGACAGCUUAAAACCCAAAGGACUUGGCGGUGCCUCAGACCCACCUAGAGGAGCCUGUUCUGGAACCGAUGACCCCCGUUCAACCUCACCUCCCCUUGUUUACCCCGCCUAUAUACCGCCGUCGUCAGCAUACCCUGUGAAGGAAAUAUAGUAUGCACAAUGGGUAAAUCCCAAAACGUCAGGUCGAGGUGUAGCGUAUGGGGAGGGAAGAAAUGGGCUACAUUCUCUAACCUAGAGUAUUACGGAGGGGGCUGUGAAACCAGCCCCUGAAGGGGGAUUUAGCAGUAGAUAGGAAAUAGAGCGUCCUAUCGAAACUGGCUCUGAAGCGCGC
RNAcentral lists this ribosomal RNA (388 nucleotides) under Galaxias fontanus (swan galaxias). RNAcentral describes it as "partial 12S ribosomal RNA". It matches the Rfam family "Bacterial small subunit ribosomal RNA", at positions 794 to 1384 of the family's 1533-position model. The record is from RNAcentral. Lineage: Eukaryota; Metazoa; Chordata; Actinopteri; Galaxiiformes; Galaxiidae.